UGGUUCUGGCAUCGAUGAAGAACGCAGCGAAAUGCGAUAAGUAAUGUGAAUUGCAGAAUCCAGUGAAUCAUCGAAUCUUUGAACGCAUAUUGCGCCCUUCGGCAUUCCGAAGGGCAUACCUGUUCGAGCGUCAUUACAACCCUCAGGUGACAUCUGAUGUUGGGUGUUGCGUGGAGCAUGCCCUAAAGCCAACGACGGCGGCGUGCCGACCUCAAGCACACAGCAGUGCGAUGCUGGGAAGAGCGCCGUCGGGACCCCUUCCAAGACGUUGACCUCGGAUCAGGUAGGAAUACCCGCUGA
RNAcentral lists this unclassified non-coding RNA (300 nucleotides) under uncultured fungus. RNAcentral's name for it is "partial contains 5.8S ribosomal RNA and internal transcribed spacer 2". The stretch from base 1 to 133 matches the Rfam family "5.8S ribosomal RNA", at positions 22 to 154 of the family's 154-position model. Lineage: Eukaryota; Fungi. The record is from RNAcentral.